GGAUGUCUGGUCGUACAGGAAAGGGCAGGGGCGACUCCCCACUCUUCAAAACCCUAGAAACUUCACUAAUCUUGCAAAUUGAAGGUCCAAUUCAGUCCAAAAUCGAAAUUUAAGCAUGGAUUAUUGAUCCUCAUCACAAGAGGAUUAAAAGUUUGACUCUGACAAGCUAGGUAGGAGCUUGGAAAUGAACGGGUCAAAUGGAUACAAGUUCAAGUAUGAAGCUCGCAAGGAUGCAAGAUAUCCAAUGGAUACUCGCAUCGCUCUUAAUUAGCAAUUAUAAAGCAAGGUGAAUGUCGAGGGUCCCGGAUGAAGAUCGAGCAUCGAGCAAGAACCGAACACACACUAAAUAAAGCUUCCGCAACGUUGUUUUGUCGUUAUUCUAAACGGUGAUUUAAAUCACAUUAUGUAUAUCACUUAAAUUGUAAAAGUUUUUAAUAAACCCGCAUUUUGUACAGUAUGUGUGGUCUUAACUACACAUCUAAUUGUGGUAUUUUCAUGUAAAAUUGUAAUUUAGUAACUAGGGUGUUACAAGUUGGUAAUCAGAGCUCAUGGUUAAAGAUUAAGGUGUGUUCGGUUCGAGGCUUGAUCGCAAAUCCGGACACUCGCGUCUGAAGAUGACGAGAGUUGAACAAAUUGCGGAUAUGAUGAUGGAACGGUCCGAGAUGUGACAAGAAGAGCAUACUCAUCAAGGACCUAAAUCGCGUAACGAUCGCAAAUAAGUAAUGGCAAGGAAUGCCCGUCGGGGCAAGCAUUACCAGGUGCACAUUUUAAACUUAUAGUACAAAAAGUAAUAUGCAACAAAUACAUAGUGAAUGACAGUUGCAUAUAGAAUAUGAAACUUGGAAAACCUGGAUAGGUUACCUAUCCAGGAUGACGUUUCCAAGAGAAAUUCAGUAGAGAAUAUGUAUUAUUCACAAAUUGUGAAUAACAAGACAAUAACAAAAUUCAGUUUAUAUAGAAACUUGGACGAGAGUGAUCAUCCAAGUAAGUAUUCUCAAUAUAAAUCCUAUUGAGAAAAGUAAUGAUCACAUCAACAAAUGUGAAUAAAUGUUUAUAAAAAGGGACAUUUUACAUGUUCAAGGAUAAACGACUAAAACUAAUAAUUGUUAACUAACAAUUAAAUAAAGUUUUACCAAAUGAAAUCAUAAAUAUGGAAAUAAUUUGAGGAGUUACUUACAUGGGACGUGAUGUGGUAAUUAUAAUAAGGUCACGCGUACCAUGUGUUGAUCGCUUACUCUGGCCAAGUAAGUAGUGAACACAUGAUAGCAUGAGCUUCUUAUAAUGAGCGCAGUUAUGUCCGAUGUAGUAAGGUCAAGAUGAAUGAAAAUUUAAAGGAUCCUUAGGGUCAAGAAAUCUUAUGGGCAUACUCGUAUAAAUGGUUUUCGCGGGAACCAUAAAAACGACGUAUGGCGCACAUAGAAAUAAAUGACCCAAGGAAAUUCGUGACAUAAGUCAUUUCGGACGAAACAACCAUGGUAGACAAAAAGGGCAUUGUAAAACCAAAGUAUAAAUGACCCGCGGGGUCAUAGAAACAAAGGUAUUGCCCACAUGGAAAAACGAUCAAAGUCGUUGACUUUGGUCGUAGUAAAGAAAUGAUGAUGAUGAUGAUAAUCAUCAUUCAUAGUUUAUAAGACUGUCAAGGAUGGUCGAAUAAAGAAUAAAGGUUUGGUUGAAUAAAAGUGAUGGAUUUCGCUAAGACAACCAAACAAAUUAAAACGAAAUCUUAAUGUAUACCGGAAUGCUUGCACUAAUAAUGACUUCGGUAAAGUACCCGGUUGAUGGGUAAGGAUUUAAACACAUGCGUAAACCGAGAAAUGGGAACACGAAUUUAAAGUCAAAAGACUCGGAUUAUGAGUUAUGACUGAAAGACCAUAAAAUUUUGCAAACAGAAAUUUUGAUAAUUAUAUUCAACUAUUUUGAGGUUGAACGGGUUGAAUAAAGUAUAAUGCUUGAUGGCAUAAGUAAGCGCAAGCCGGAUAACAGUAAGCUUGAGACAAACCGAUGCUUAAUUGACGUGAGAAGUCAUAGAGUCGGAAGAAUUAUCCAAAAGAAAACGAUUGUAGACACGAACUACAGUCAAAGUUAACGGAUUUCAAGCAUGAAAACAAAUGAUUUUCAAACAAAAAAAAGUGCUUUGACACCAAAUAUAUAUUUUAAUAAAGAUACGAGUAAAAAGAAUGAUCUACGGGAUCAUCAUAACCUUUAGGUUAUAAACAGUGUAAAGGUCUACGGGACCAAAAUGACCUACGGGUCAUGAAUAAAAAGGAAAAAGGAUCAUAAAGGACUCGCCUUAAAGAGGUGAGAGCCUAAAGAAAUAGCCUACGAGGCUAAGUGAAUGAACCUAUGGGUUAUCUAGACAUAGCGAGGGAACUGGUUGAGAAUCCCCGCGUAAAAUAAGAAUGAAAAAGAAUAAAUUCUUAAUUGUCAAUUUCUUGAUAUGAGUAAUUGACGAAAGUUAAAGAGAAGACGUUAAAUUAAACUUCAAGUUUUAGUGAGAAACAACGUUUUAACAAAUAUGAAUACUACAAGACGAUUUUGGAAAUAAAAAAAAUAUAUCAAAGAGUAUGGGUCUUAACAUCGAUAGGUUCAAGACGAUAUAUUCGAAAAAGUGGUAUUUUCGAAAAUGAAAGGUUGAUAUAAAUUAAACAUGACGUGACACGAUCACGGUUAAGAAAUGCAAUGUGAAGUGGAAUCACAUUAUCACCAGGCGAGCGGUAAAAAGCAACUGGACUAAUAAGUCUAGUUAGUGAGAUCGGUUAAGGAAAUUUAAGUAAGUUGGUUGCUUGUAAGCGGUGGAUUCAGUAUAACUGAACCGAAUAAAUGAAUUGGAAAAAAAAAGAAAUAGUUGCUAAAAGAGAAAGAUUUCACUAAAGACCUUUAAACGGAUCAAGGUAACGGAUUCACAAAGAGUUCGAUAAUAUAUGAAAGCGAUGGAUAUCGCUAAGUUAACUAACUAGUGGAAAUAACAAGAUUACGUUAUUUCAAGUUGCACUAUGUCGUAUGAGAUAUGUAGACAAUUAGUGACCAAAAAGAUGUUACCAUACCUAUAUGGUAAUACGAACAAUUGGUUAAAAGUAUAAGUAAUGUUUAAAAGAUAUCUCGUAAAAAAAAUACGUUGAGUUUAAACUCAAUGAGUUAUGUAAGAAAAGGUUUCGAGGAAGAAACCUCUUUAAGGGGGUAGACUUGUAACACCCCGAAAACGGGUUUGGUAAUCAAACCACGUUUAUACUAAAAGACGGGUAAAUUACCUUUAGUGGUAAAAGUAACCCGGCGAAUAUUAGGAUUCUUGAAUAAACAAGAACUUACUAACUAGGAAUUUUAACCUAGUUAGCUAAUAUUCUAGAAGUAACUUAUGAUAGGGUUAAAAACAACCAAAACUAUAUGUCAAACAAAAGAUGAGGGGCCUAAGUUGUAAGAAAUUGAAAUUAUAUUACUAAUUUUAAUAAAAAUCAAAACCAAACACCCAUUAAGGAUGUCUGGUCGUACAGGAAAGGGCAGGGGCGACUCCCCACUCUUCAAAACCCUAGAACUUCACUAAUCUUGCAAAUUGAAGGUCCAAUUCAGUCCAAAAUCGAAAUUUAAGCAUGGAUUAUUGAUCCUCAUCACAAGAGGAUUAAAAGGUAUGUAAAAUUUAAUGAAAAAUCUCUAGUUGGAUUUCUAGGUAAACUUAGAAAUCUGAAAUUUAUGGUUGCAUGUUCGUUAUAUGAUGAAAUUAGGAAUGAUUUUAUGUCUAGGAGUAAACCCUAGUCAUUUACUUGUUGAAUUGAUGUUCCUAAUUGUGAAUUCAUGAUCACCCGAUUAUGUGCUAAAUGGGUUUUGUAGAAACAUGAUGAACACUAGAAUCAUAAUGGUUAAAUUGUGUUAAUAGAACUCACUGAAGUUAGAUUUGAAGUUUGAUGUUAGUACUUGUUAAUUUUGCUAGAAUUUAAGGGUUUAGAACACUUAAAUGGGCUGGAGAAAUUUGAUGUUUCGUGUUGCACACAAGGUGCUUGUUAAAAUGCUUGAACAAGAAAAUAUAACAAAGCCGAUUGGAAAUAAAAUUAUUGGGCUGCAGUUUUAAAAAAAUCAUAUAAAAUUACUGGAACGGCCUGUGAGGUUGAGCCUUAUAUGCUCAGAAAGCUAUUAAAACAUACUACGUUUAAUGUUUGAACAUGUUUGUUAAAUUCUGAUGUUAAACGGGUCAAAACAGUGUCCGAAGUAGGCUGAACUGUUUUGACAGCAAGCUGAUUGGAAAAAAAAAAUUGUUGGGCUGCAGUUUUUAAAAAAUCAUAUAAAAUCACUGGAACAUCCUGUGAGGUUGAGCCUUAUAUGCUCAGAAAGCUAUUAAAACAUACUACGUUUUAUGUUUGGACAUGUUUGUUAAAUUCUGAUGUUAAACGGGUCAAAACAGUGUCCGAAGUCGGCUGAACUGUUUUGACAGCAAGCUGACAGGAAGCAUUUUUUUUUACUUCAGAGCUGAUUUUGUAAAAAUCAUAUAAAAUCAUAGGAACAUCGUUAGAAAACGUACCAUAUAUGCCUAGAAAGCUAUUUCAGAGUUUUACGAUCCGUUUUUGAACAUGUUGAUCUAAUUCAACUUUUAAAUGGGUCAAAAUGGUCAAUUACAGCAGCUGAAUACAAAAUCGCUGCACUUUAGUAAUGUUCUUAUUAACCAAGAAAAAGACAUAUGAUUGCGUAUACUUGUUUAGUCAUGAAGCAUUUAUUGUUAGGAACAAGUAACACUUUAUAUGACAUGCUUAAAGUGUUCAAAAUCACUUACUAACUAGUUUGUAUAAAUAAUUUGACUAACGGGUCAAACGGUUAGUGAAUGGAAAGAAUUAUGACAAAAAAAUAAAUAAGUAAAUAAUAUAGUUGUUGAAUAAAUAGCAUACUUUGGUGAAUAAGUGUGUGAAUCCAUAAGGUGUGAUGGUCAUGUUAAUGGUUGACUAAUCUAAUCAUCUUGUGGAUAUGAUAUGGUAGUUUGACUCUGACAAGCUAGGUAGGAGCUUGGAAAUGAACGGGUCAAAUGGAUACAAGUUCAAGUAUGAAGCUCGCAAGGAUGCAAGGUAAGUAUAACUUACACUAGUCAUAUAUUUUAAAAUGUUCUUUUGUCAUAUUGACUACGAAUAAGACAAAUGGUAAUUUAGUCACACGUUGACAAUAAUCGUUAGUUUUAAAAGACGCUUUCCCGCGAAAGACAUAAAGAGCCGAAAAUGGUAAUAAACGGUUUAUAAAUAAAAUGAGCAUACGGUGUUAAAAGGAGCGAGUCAUGUAGAUGAGAUGAUAAUAAAUAUUAUCUCGCAAAGAUAAACGGUCAAUUCGGCCAAACGGGUCAAAAGGUGUAGACAUCACCUUUUGACGAUAUCGACUAAUGAUUCUGGUGUCGAGUUAUAUGUUUACAGGAGUAGAUAUCCAAUGGAUACUCGCAUCGCUCUUAAUUAGCAAUUAUAAAGCAAGGUAUUAAACCGGGUUAGUAAGUUGAUCCGAGCCAGGUAUGUAUAAUAGAUUAACUUAUCAUGUAGAACUUGAAGUUCUAUGAAAGUUAGGCAAAAUAAAAAAAAAAAAAAAAAGGCAUUCGGUUACCUUAAUAGGUAAACCGAAGGAUUUAAAUUAUUUAGACAGAAUGUUUUGAAAACAAGAUUUGGUUAAAAAUGAGAAAUUAGAAUCAAACAACAGGUUUGUUUGAUAAAAUCACGAACGGGUCAAAUUUGGUAAAAAGGGUUAAUAAGCCGAAGACUUAAAAGUCUUAAAAUUUUGUUAAUCCAGAUGUUGGGUCUUGACUCCAUUUGAUGGAGGUUCAAUUUACAAUCACGUAGGAAGAAACGGUAGGUCAAACAGACGAGCGGUUUGAAAGAUACGAAAGUUUUCGUGUCAAAAACGGCAAAAAGGAAAGGAAUGAUGCAGGGGCCACCGUAACUUACGGUGCCACCGUAAGUUACGGUGGACAUGAUUUGGUUACGGUAAAUGCCUACUGUUGUACGGUUGAAUAAUUGAAACACAGAGACCACCGUAACUUACGGUGCCACCGUAAGUUACGGUGGAGGUCAGAAAUGAGUUUUUAUUUUGGGUUUAAGAUAUCCAUGUGGGAUUUUCCUAAUUUCCCCAUUGUAUUAGUUUAAUUAAUUAUCAAAACUGACCUUUAAGUUGGUUUUGAUCACAGGUGAAUGUUGAGGGUCCCGGAUGAAGAUCGAGCAUCGAGCAAGAACCGAACACACACUAAAUAAAGCUUCCGCAACGUUGUUUUGUCGUUAUUCUAAACGGUGAUUUAAAUCACAUUAUGUAUAUCACUUAAAUUGUAAAAGUUUUUAAUAAACCCGCAUUUUGUACAGUAUGUGUGGUCUUAACUACACAUCUAAUUGUGGUAUUUUCAUGUAAAAUUGUAAUUUAGUAACUAGGGUGUUACAAGUUGGUAAUCAGAGCUCAUGGUUAAAGAUUAAGGUGUGUUCGGUUCGAGGCUUGAUCGCAAAUCCGGUAAGUACGUGUAUGUUAAUAGCUUAGCAUGCUAAAGUGUUGUAAACAACACAUAGGGCUAUCGUGUGAUACACGUUACCCCAAUUAAAAUGAUUAAUAUGGUUGACGAAAAUACGCGCGUUGACGCGUAUAGUAAAAAAAAAAAAAAAAAAAAAAAAAGCCUUAUAUUAUAAUACGGGCGAUUAUUGAAGUUGAAAUUACUAACUCUUGUGAAUGUUUUAAUUGAAGGACACUCGCGUCUGAAGAUGACGAGAGUUGAACAAAUUGCGGAUAUGAUGAUGGAACGGUCCGAGAUGUGACAAGAAGAGCAUACUCAUCAAGGACCUAAAUCGCGUAACGAUCGCAAAUAAGUAAUGGCAAGGAAUGCCCGUCGGGGCAAGCAUUACCAGGUGCACAUUUUAAACUUAUAGUACAAAAAGUAAUAUGCAACAAAUACAUAGUGAAUGACAGUUGCAUAUAGAAUAUGAAACUUGGAAAACCUGGAUAGGUUACCUAUCCAGGAUGACGUUUCCAAGAGAAAUUCAGUAGAGAAUAUGUAUUAUUCACAAAUUGUGAAUAACAAGACAAUAACAAAAUUCAGUUUAUAUAGAAACUUGGACGAGAGUGAUCAUCCAAGUAAGUAUUCUCAAUAUAAAUCCUAUUGAGAAAAGUAAUGAUCACAUCAACAAAUGUAAAUAAAUGUUUAUAAAAAGGGACAUUUUACAUGUUCAAGGAUAAACGACUAAAACUAAUAAUUGUUAACUAACAAUUAAAUAAAGUUUUACCAAAUGAAAUCAUAAAUAUGGAAAUAAUUUGAGGAGUUACUUACAUGGGACGUGAUGUGGUAAUUAUAAUAAGGUCACGCGUACCAUGUGUUGAUCGCUUACUCUGGCCAAGUAAGUAGUGAACACAUGAUAGCAUGAGCUUCUUAUAAUGAGCGCAGUUAUGUCCGAUGUAGUAAGGUCAAGAUGAAUGAAAAUUUAAAGGAUCCUUAGGGUCAAGAAAUCUUAUGGGCAUACUCGUAUAAAUGGUUUUCGCGGGAACCAUAAAAACGACGUAUGGCGCACAUAGAAAUAAAUGACCCAAGGAAAUUCGUGACAUAAGUCAUUUCGGACGAAACAACCAUGGUAGACAAAAAGGGCAUUGUAAAACCAAAGUAUAAAUGACCCGCGGGGUCAUAGAAACAAAGGUAUUGCCCACAUGGAAAAACGAUCAAAGUCGUUGACUUUGGUCGUAGUAAAGAAAUGAUGAUGAUGAUGAUAAUCAUCAUUCAUAGUUUAUAAGACUGUCAAGGAUGGUCGAAUAAAGAAUAAAGGUUUGGUUGAAUAAAAGCGAUGGAUUUCGCUAAGACAACCAAACAAAUUAAAACGAAAUCUUAAUGUAUACCGGAAUGCUUGCACUAAUAAUGACUUCGGUAAAGUACCCGGUUGAUGGGUAAGGAUUUAAACACAUGCGUAAACCGAGAAACGGGAACACGAAUUUAAAGUCAAAAGACUCGGAUUAUGAGUUAUGACUGAAAGACCAUAAAAUUUUGCAAACAGAAAUUUUGAUAAUUAUAUUCAACUAUUUUGAGGUUGAACGGGUUGAAUAAAGUAUAAUGCUUGAUGGCAUAAGUAAGCGCAAGCCGGAUAACAGUAAGCUUGAGACAAACCGAUGCUUAAUUGACGUGAGAAGUCAUAGAGUCGGAAGAAUUAUCCGAAAGAAAACGAUUGUAGACACGAACUACAGUCAAAGUUAACGGAUUUCAAGCAUGAAAACAAAUGAUUUUCAAACAAAAAAAAAAGUGCUUUGACACCAAAUAUAUAUUUUAAUAAAGAUACGAGUAAAAAGAAUGAUCUACGGGAUCAUCAUAACCUUCAGGUUAUAAACAGUGUAAAGGUCUACGGGACCAAAAUGACCUACGGGUCAUGAAUAAAAAGGAAAAAGGAUCAUAAAGGACUCGCCUUAAAGAGGUGAGAGCCUAAAGAAAUAGCCUACGAGGCUAAGUGAAUGAACCUAUGGGUUAUCUAGACAUAGCGAGGGAACUGGUUGAGAAUCCCCGCGUAAAAUAAGAAUGAAAAAGAAUAAAUUCUUAAUUGUCAAUUUCUUGAUAUGAGUAAUUGACGAAAGUUAAAGAGAAGACGUUAAAUUAAACUUCAAGUUUUAGUGAGAAACAACGUUUUAACAAAUAUGAAUACUACAAGACGAUU
This 8615-nucleotide long non-coding RNA is filed under the name Helianthus annuus (common sunflower). RNAcentral's name for it is "hypothetical non coding rna". The record is from RNAcentral. Lineage: Eukaryota; Viridiplantae; Streptophyta; Magnoliopsida; Asterales; Asteraceae.